RNAcentral lists this ribosomal RNA (357 nucleotides) under uncultured archaeon. RNAcentral's name for it is "partial 16S ribosomal RNA". It matches the Rfam family "Archaeal small subunit ribosomal RNA", at positions 827 to 1181 of the family's 1478-position model. The record is from RNAcentral.
CCUGGGAAGUACGUACGCAAGUAUGAAACUUAAAGGAAUUGGCGGGGGAGCACCACAAGGGGUGAAGCCUGCNNNNNNAUUGGAGUCAACGCCAGAAAUCUUACCUGGGGAGACAGCAGAAUGAAGGUCAAGCUGAAGACUUUACCAGACACGCUGAGAGGUGGUGCAUGNCNNNCGCCAGCUCGUGCCGUGAGAUGUCCUGUUAAGUCAGGUAACGAGCGAGACCCCUGCGUCUAGUUGCUACCAUUACUCUCUGGAGCAGUGGAGCGAAUUAGACGGACCGCCACAGUUAAUGUGGAGGAAGGAAGGGGCCACGGCAGGUCAGUAUGCCCCGAAACCCUAGGGCUACACGCGGGC